This is a non-coding RNA of Buceros rhinoceros silvestris, 46 nucleotides long. The record is from Rfam. Lineage: Eukaryota; Metazoa; Chordata; Aves; Bucerotiformes; Bucerotidae.
AAUCAGGUUUUUUUCAAAACCAAUAUUCUUAUUUUUAUAGUAACAU